AUUGAACGCUGGCGGCAGGCUUAACACAUGCACGUCGCGCGGGGCAAGGUAGCUUGCUACCGCCCCUAGCGGCGGACGGGUGAGUAAUGCGUAGGCAUCGCCCUAUUAGUCGGGGACAACAUCUCGAAAGGUAUGCUAAUACUGCAUACCUCCUACGGGACAACGAAGGGGUUCUUCCGACCUGGCGCUACUAGCUGAGCCUAAGUCGGAUUAGUUAGUUGGUCGGGUAAAGGCCUACCAAGGAGACGAUCUGGAGCGGGUCUGAGAGGACGAUCCGCCACACUGGGACUGAGACACGGCCUAGACUCCGACGGGAGGCAGCAGGGGGGAAUAGUGGACAAUGGGGGGAACCCUGAUCCAGCCAUGCCGCGUGUGUGAAGAAGGCCUUAUGGUUGUAAAGCACUUUAAGCGAGGAGGAGGCUACUCUAGUUAAUACCUAGGGAUAGUGGACGUUACUCGCAGAAUAAGCACCGGCUAACUCUGUGCCAGCCGCCGCAGUAA
Molecule: ribosomal RNA, 501 nt
Filed under: uncultured bacterium
Lineage: Bacteria
Description: partial 16S ribosomal RNA
Rfam family: Bacterial small subunit ribosomal RNA
Source: RNAcentral